CGGCGGACGGGUGAGUAACGCGUAGGAAUCUACCUGGUAGUGGGGGACAACAUGGGGAAACCCAUGCUAAUACCGCAUACGCCCUAUGGGGGAAAGCGGGGGACCUUCGGGCCUCGCGCUAUCAGAUGAGCCUGCGUAGGAUUAGCUUGUUGGUGAGGUAAAGGCUCACCAAGGCGACGAUCCUUAGCUGGUCUGAGAGGAUGAUCAGCCACACUGGAACUGAGACACGGUCCAG
This 235-nucleotide ribosomal RNA is filed under the name uncultured bacterium. RNAcentral describes it as "partial 16S ribosomal RNA". It matches the Rfam family "Bacterial small subunit ribosomal RNA", at positions 96 to 334 of the family's 1533-position model. The record is from RNAcentral.